RNAcentral lists this RNase P RNA (440 nucleotides) under Gemmatirosa kalamazoonensis. RNAcentral describes it as "Gemmatimonadetes bacterium KBS708 Bacterial RNase P class A". It matches the Rfam family "Bacterial RNase P class A". From Rfam's summary of the family: Ribonuclease P (RNase P) is a ubiquitous endoribonuclease, found in archaea, bacteria and eukarya as well as chloroplasts and mitochondria. Its best characterised activity is the generation of mature 5'-ends of tRNAs by cleaving the 5'-leader elements of precursor-tRNAs. The record is from Rfam by way of RNAcentral. Lineage: Bacteria; Pseudomonadati; Gemmatimonadota; Gemmatimonadia; Gemmatimonadales; Gemmatimonadaceae.
GUCAUCGGCCGGACGGUCGCGAGCGGCGACGCUCGAGGAAAGUCCGGGCUCCACAGGGCAGGCUGCCAGGUAACGCCUGGGCGCACCUCUUCGGGGGUGCGACGGACAGUGCCACAGAAAACACACCGCCGAUGGCCCCUCAGAAGACCGAGGGGAUCAGGCAAGGUUGAAAAGGCGGGUUAAGAGCCCACCGCGCGCCCGGUAACGGGCGUGGCAGGGUAAACCCCAGCCGGAGCAAGGCCAAAUAGGCGGCGAGAGACGGCCCGUCUCGUCAGCCGGUGUGUCAUUCCGGUGAAAGCCGGGAGCGCCAUCGGCACAGCCGCGGGUAGGCUGCUGGAGGGUCCGGGCGACCGGAUCCCGAGAGAAAUGACCGUCCGGUCUCCGUCGCGGCUCGCCGCGUCGGGGGCCGACAGGACCCGGCUUACAGGCCGGUGAUCGCA